UAUCUUCAAUUCAUAACAUAUGUCAUUAUCGAACCAUGGAAGAAUUGACAUUUAUAUUUUCGGUGCGUUUGGCGUAUUGACGUAUUCGUGUUGAAGCAAGCACGUUUUCUUUUCGUUUUAACUUGGUGACCGAGCUAAGUUAAUCUACAAAAUGCCAAGAGAAAUCACCGAGAUCAAGGAGUUCCUCCUUACGGCGAGAAGGAAGGACGCCAAAUCCGUUAAAAUAAAGAAGAAUGUGGAUAACACCAAAUUCAAAGUAAGGUGCUCAAGAUUCCUGUACACCUUGGUUAUCACAGAUAAGGAAAAGGCUGAAAAACUUAAGCAGUCCCUUCCCCCAGGUCUCCAAGUGAAAGAAGUUAAAUGAUUAAUUUAGUUAAUGUAUAUAUUAUACCUUUGAAAGGUAAAUAAAACAUUUGUAAAAUCCACAA
Molecule: long non-coding RNA, 428 nt
Organism: Harmonia axyridis
Lineage: Eukaryota; Metazoa; Arthropoda; Insecta; Coleoptera; Coccinellidae
Exons: 3
Source: RefSeq, a predicted model, not a curated record